CGAUUUCUUAUGCAUGGAAGAUGCUAAACAUAUUGGCCUUAAGCAAAAACUAAUAAAAAAUCUUGAUUAGAUUUAAUGUAAUUAUUGUAAAGAAUAUUCCCACUUCACAUGAUUUCUCCUCUUCGGUACAAUUAAUUGAAGAAAGUUUUGGAGCCCACUUACUAGCCAGUCAAGAUAUGUGCCAGCUUCAAGAGCAUUUGAUUUAAUGGCUUCAGAAUGAAGAGCUGGACAAGGAGCCGUGUGUGAAAAAUGAGGACCUAAAGUCGAAGAGCGGCAGAAUGGACUGGGAACAUCCUACAAGUUAUAUGGGGAGGCCAGACGUCAGCUGGAUGAUACCAAAAAGGAAGUCGAGGAGGUCUAUGCUGAGCUUGUCAUUCCAGAACUCGAUUCUGUAAGAACCGAGGCAUUCACUACUCUUGUUAGUUGGAGAGAGCCACCACCUGGAAUUUGUGGCAUACACUGAAAAAA
This is a long non-coding RNA of Heteronotia binoei (common prickly gecko), 468 nucleotides long. RefSeq lists it as uncharacterized. The transcript is spliced from 4 exons. The record is from RefSeq and is a predicted model, not a curated record. Lineage: Eukaryota; Metazoa; Chordata; Lepidosauria; Squamata; Gekkonidae.